This 1293-nucleotide ribosomal RNA is filed under the name uncultured bacterium. RNAcentral describes it as "bacterial SSU rRNA". It matches the Rfam family "Bacterial small subunit ribosomal RNA", at positions 88 to 1399 of the family's 1533-position model. The record is from RNAcentral.
UAACUUAGUGGCGAACGGGUGAGUAACGCGUGAGUAACCUGCCCUGGAGUGGGGGACAACAGUUGGAAACGACUGCUAAUACCGCAUAAGCCCACGGCCCGGCAUCGGGCUGAGGGAAAAGGAUUUAUUCGCUUCAGGAUGGACUCGCGUCCAAUUAGCUAGUUGGUGAGGUAACGGCCCACCAAGGCGACGAUUGGUAGCCGGACUGAGAGGUUGAACGGCCACAUUGGGACUGAGACACGGCCCAGACUCCUACGGGAGGCAGCAGUGGGGGAUAUUGCACAAUGGGGGAAACCCUGAUGCAGCGACGCCGCGUGGAGGAAGAAGGUUUUCGGAUUGUAAACUCCUGUCGUUAGGGACGAUAAUGACGGUACCUAACAAGAAAGCACCGGCUAACUACGUGCCAGCAGCCGCGGUAAAACGUAGGGUGCAAGCGUUGUCCGGAAUUACUGGGUGUAAAGGGAGCGCAGGCGGACCGGCAAGUUGGAAGUGAAAUCCAUGGGCUCAACCCGUGAAUUGCUUUCAAAACUGCUGGCCUUGAGUAGUGCAGAGGUAGGUGGAAUUCCCGGUGUAGCGGUGGAAUGCGUAGAUAUCGGGAGGAACACCAGUGGCGAAGGCGACCUACUGGGCACCAACUGACGCUGAGGCUCGAAAGCAUGGGUAGCAAACAGGAUUAGAUACCCUGGUAGUCCAUGCCGUAAACGAUGAUUACUAGGUGUUGGAGGAUUGACCCCUUCAGUGCCGCAGUUAACACAAUAAGUAAUCCACCUGGGGAGUACGACCGCAAGGUUGAAACUCAAAGGAAUUGACGGGGGCCCGCACAAGCAGUGGAGUAUGUGGUUUAAUUCGAAGCAACGCGAAGAACCUUACCAGGUCUUGACAUCCCGAUGCUAUUUCUAGAGAUAGAAAGUUUCUUCGGAACAUCGGUGACAGGUGGUGCAUGGUUGUCGUCAGCUCGUGUCGUGAGAUGUUGGGUUAAGUCCCGCAACGAGCGCAACCCCUAUUGUUAGUUGCCAUCAUUGAGUUGGGCACUCUAGCGAGACUGCCGGUAAUAAACCGGAGGAAGGUGGGGAUGACGUCAAAUCAUCAUGCCCCUUAUGACCUGGGCUACACACGUGCUACAAUGGUUGGUACAACGAGUCGCAAGUCGGUGACGGCAAGCAAAUCUCUUAAAGCCAAUCUCAGUUCGGAUUGUAGGCUGCAACUCGCCUACAUGAAGUCGGAAUCGCUAGUAAUCGCGGAUCAGCACGCCGCGGUGAAUACGUUCCCGGGCCUUGCACUCACCGCCCGUCA